CUGUGAUGGGGGUGUUAAUCUUAUGUUUAUUUUAUCCACAGGAAACAAAGCUCAAGAAGGUGAAAUGAUGUUCCAAGAUUACUUCAUAUACCUGAGUGGCAAAAGCUGACUCAUUUCCAGGCCUUCUAACCCUAAGUCGCAUAUCCUUUUAGGUCUGCAAACACGCCAGUAUCUACAAUAGCAGAGUCUUUGUCAGUUUGCUGUUUUCAUGCUGGUGAUGAAUCUGCAGACAGGUGCAUACUAUGUUAUUCAGCCUCCGUGGCACAUCUCUGAGAGGUCUUUGGCCAGGGCAGGAAAAUCCGUCGGUGGUCAUGGAAAAUGGGAGUACUGCAUCUGCUCAUUCCAUAUUUUAACCAAUUACGCUAACUGCCCAGAGUGAUAAACACAUUUUAAUGUCUCACUCAAUGGCAUAUUUCACAUAAGACAGUUUUAGUAUUUAUGACUACGUUCUUAGAACCUCUUCCAAGACAAGCCUUUCUGAGAGUCUGUAUUAGCUUAUUUUAUUUUAUUUUUACCUAUUUUUUACUUAGGUAUAAUUGACACAUGACACUGUAUUUGUUUAGGUGUACAGAAUAAUGAUUUGACGUAUGUAUAUAUUGCUAAAGGAAUAAAUUUAGUUAAAACCCAUCCCCACACAUAAUUACACAUUUUUUCUUGUGAUGAGAAUUUUGAGAUCUACUUUCUUAAUAGCACUGUAUUAUAUAUUUGGAAGUUGCUGACUGUAGACAGCAUACUUUGUAUUCCAUCCCCAUAAUUUGUAUACCUCAUAACUGGAAGUUUGUAUCUUUUGAACAUUUUCAUCUAUUUCCUAAUAACCCUGUAUGAGGUUUCUUAAAAUACAGUAUCAUCUUUAUUAAAGAAACAAAAUCCUACAUUAAGAAAGAAUUCAAUCAACUUGUAAAAUGAACAAAAUUUUUGGCCAGAAACUAAAAUCUUAUGCAUUAAAUCUUGAUUAAGUUCUAGCAAUUAAAAAGAAAUUUGUUUUGUUAAAUAUCAGGAAAGAAAAUAAACAUCUUUACCCUAAAAUAUCUGAUCACAAAUUGUAAACAGAGAAAC
RNAcentral lists this long non-coding RNA (1056 nucleotides) under Canis lupus familiaris (dog). Its description in RNAcentral is "lncRNA (ENSCAFG00000055831.1)". Lineage: Eukaryota; Metazoa; Chordata; Mammalia; Carnivora; Canidae. The record is from RNAcentral.